This 391-nucleotide ribosomal RNA is filed under the name uncultured bacterium. RNAcentral describes it as "bacterial SSU rRNA". It matches the Rfam family "Bacterial small subunit ribosomal RNA", at positions 30 to 424 of the family's 1533-position model. The record is from RNAcentral.
AUUGAACGCUGGCGGCAUGCCUUACACAUGCAAGUCGAACGGCAGCACGGGAGCAAUCCUGGUGGCGAGUGGCGAACGGGUGAGUAAUGUAUCGGAACGUACCUUUCAGUGGGGGAUAACGUAGCGAAAGUUACGCUAAUACCGCAUAUUCUGUGAGCAGGAAGCAGGGGAUCGCAAGACCUUGCGCUGAUUGAGCGGCCGAUAUCAGAUUAGCUAGUUGGUGAGGUAAAGGCUCACCAAGGCGACGAUCUGUAGCGGGUCUGAGAGGAUGAUCCGCCACACUGGAACUGAGACACGGUCCAGACUCCUACGGGAGGCAGCAGUGGGGAAUUUUGGACAAUGGGCGCAAGCCUGAUCCAGCCAUGCCGCGUGAGUGAAGAAGGCCUCGGUU